GGCGAGAUAGCUCAGUUGGUAGAGCAGUAGACUGAAAAUCUAUGUGUCCGCAGUUCGAUUCUGCGUCUCGCCACCA
RNAcentral lists this transfer RNA (76 nucleotides) under Actinomycetes bacterium. RNAcentral describes it as "tRNA-Phe". It matches the Rfam family "tRNA". Rfam says of the family: Transfer RNA (tRNA) molecules are approximately 80 nucleotides in length. Their secondary structure includes four short double-helical elements and three loops (D, anti-codon, and T loops). Further hydrogen bonds mediate the characteristic L-shaped molecular structure. tRNAs have two regions of fundamental functional importance: the anti-codon, which is responsible for specific mRNA codon recognition, and the 3' end, to which the tRNAs corresponding amino acid is attached (by aminoacyl-tRNA synthetases). tRNAs cope with the degeneracy of the genetic code in two manners: having more than one tRNA (with a specific anti-codon) for a particular amino acid; and 'wobble' base-pairing, i.e. permitting non-standard base-pairing at the 3rd anti-codon position. RNAcentral also lists the same sequence under 2 other names. The record is from RNAcentral. Lineage: Bacteria; Bacillati; Actinomycetota; Actinomycetes.